This 273-nucleotide ribosomal RNA is filed under the name uncultured bacterium. RNAcentral describes it as "partial 16S ribosomal RNA". It matches the Rfam family "Bacterial small subunit ribosomal RNA", at positions 524 to 796 of the family's 1533-position model. The record is from RNAcentral.
GACGAACCGUGCGAACGUUGUUCGGAAUCACUGGGCUUAAAGGGCGCGUAGGCGGGCGGGCAAGUCAGGGGUGAAAUCCCACGGCUCAACCGUGGAAGUGCCUUUGAUACUGCCUAUCUUGAGGGAGGUAGGGGCGUGCGGAACUUCCGGUGGAGCGGUGAAAUGCGUAGAUAUCGGAAGGAACACCGGUGGCGAAAGCGGCGCGCUGGACCUCUACUGACGCUGAGGCGCGAAAGCCAGGGGAGCAAACAGGAUUAGAAACCCCCGUAGUCC